UUGACGGCACAAUGCAUACAUCGUGUUAGUGAUCAAGCAUACAUCGUGUCAGUGACCAAGCAUGCAGAAGCAGAAUGUCACUCUCAGGGAUCCAAACUAAACUUACGUUUUCAUGAAACAUAAAUAGUAACAAAUUUGGUCAGAUGAAAUGAAUACGCCGAGUCUAUCCGGAGUAUCAUAAAAGCAGUAACAUAAUUGCCAGUCCGGCAUCACCAGGCGGCCAUACAAUGCUCUUACAAGCUGCAAAAUACAAGCAGCAACUUAAUUGCCAGUCCGGCAUCACUAGGCGGCCAUACACAAUGCUCUUACAAGCUGCAAAAUACAAGCAGUAACUUAAUUGCCAGUCCGGCAUCACCAGGCGGCCAUACAGUGUACCAGCAGCCUCAUCU
This 389-nucleotide long non-coding RNA is filed under the name Triticum aestivum (bread wheat). Its description in RNAcentral is "long non-coding RNA (TAES_LNC013619)". The record is from RNAcentral. Lineage: Eukaryota; Viridiplantae; Streptophyta; Magnoliopsida; Poales; Poaceae.